AAGUCUCUUCUACCAACUUGAAAACGUGCUAUGGACGUGGUGCAGCUUCCUCCUGCCUGUUGCACCUUCGUCGCGGCGUUCACGGUCAUCGUGUAAGGCAGAGGGCCAAAGAAAGGCUAAUUUUGAAGAAUAUGAUGCAAAAAAGCGAGAGAAUGCUCAAAAGAUUAUUGAUCUCAAAAAAAAUAUCAAAGAACUUUACGUGAAAUAUGCGAGAGCGAAAACUAAUAAAGAAGCGAUGGAACGAGCGGC
This is a long non-coding RNA of Camponotus floridanus (Florida carpenter ant), 249 nucleotides long. RefSeq lists it as uncharacterized. The record is from RefSeq and is a predicted model, not a curated record. Lineage: Eukaryota; Metazoa; Arthropoda; Insecta; Hymenoptera; Formicidae. The transcript has 3 exons.